Molecule: ribosomal RNA, 372 nt
Filed under: uncultured organism
Description: partial 16S ribosomal RNA
Rfam family: Bacterial small subunit ribosomal RNA
Source: RNAcentral
GUAGGUGGCAAGCGUUAUCCGGAAUUAUUGGGCGUAAAGCGCGCGCAGGCGGUUUCUUAAGUCUGAUGUGAAAGCCCACGGGCUCAACCGUGGAGGGUCAUUGGGAACUGGGGAACUUGAGUGCAGAAGAGAAAAGCGGAAUUCCACGUGUAGCGGUGAAAUGCGUAGAGAUGUGGAGGAACACCAGUGGCGAAGGCGGCUUUUUGGUCUGUAACUGACGCUGAGGCGCGAAAGCGUGGGGAGCAAACAGGAUUAGAUACCCUGGUAGUCCACGCCGUAAACGAUGAGUGCUAAGUGUUAGAGGGUUUCCGCCCUUUAGUGCUGCAGCUAACGCAUUAAGCACUCCGCCUGGGGAGUACGGUCGCAAGACUG